RNAcentral lists this transfer RNA (74 nucleotides) under Holosporaceae bacterium. RNAcentral's name for it is "tRNA-Gln". It matches the Rfam family "tRNA". From Rfam's summary of the family: Transfer RNA (tRNA) molecules are approximately 80 nucleotides in length. Their secondary structure includes four short double-helical elements and three loops (D, anti-codon, and T loops). Lineage: Bacteria; Pseudomonadati; Pseudomonadota; Alphaproteobacteria; Holosporales; Holosporaceae. The record is from RNAcentral.
UGGGGAAUAGUUUAGCGGUAGAACUUCCGGCUCUGGACCGGGCAACCGUGGUUCGAAUCCACGUUCCCCAGCCA